GUUGAUAUUCUGGAAGCAAGAUCCUGGAAGGCCAAGGACAGGUCAUUUCUUAGGACUGUGCAAAAGAAAAUCAGUCUUUACAGUAAGCUAUUUGAUUCCAGUAGUUCUUUCAUCUCAGUCUUUUGAAAGCAACUUCCCCUCUUUAACCAACACCUGCCAUGGCCUCUUCAUGGGCUGAAGAAGGAAAGACAGGACAGAUUCUUAAGACCUGAAAGGGCACCUCAACUCUUACCUUGGAAAUUUCUACAUGAAGAAUCUGCUCUGAAACUAUAGCAAACGUUCACAGUGUUUGAGUGUGAAUCUGGACUGAUUGGGGAAGACCAAGAAGCAAUGAUGAUGUCUGUUUUUGUCCAAUGUCUGAAAACUGUUUUUAUUUUUUUAAAACUUUAUUCAGAAGUCUCAAUAUUGUAGUGUGUAGAGAUGUAUACUAAUUUAGUGAUAUGAAGAUGAAGGGCUUUAAGCCUGUUUUCAUUGAAGAGCUCUCAGUACCUGGCAACACCGAGGAAAAAACUGUGGUUCAUGAAAAAUUAAAUUUAAUAAAACAGCAAA
Piliocolobus tephrosceles (Ugandan red Colobus) is the source of this 549-nucleotide long non-coding RNA. RefSeq lists it as uncharacterized. The transcript has 2 exons. The record is from RefSeq and is a predicted model, not a curated record. NCBI's taxonomy places the organism in Eukaryota, Metazoa, Chordata, Mammalia, Primates, Cercopithecidae.